Molecule: long non-coding RNA, 541 nt
Filed under: Gallus gallus (chicken)
Lineage: Eukaryota; Metazoa; Chordata; Aves; Galliformes; Phasianidae
Description: lncRNA (ENSGALG00010009122.1)
Source: RNAcentral
GUAUGGCAGGGCAAAAGUCCUGCUAUAGCACUUCUGGCUGCUCGAGGCAGUUCCAGGAGUUGGACUCUACAAUCUUUUUGGGUCUCUUACAACACAGCAUAUUCAAUGCUCCUAUGAUUCUAAGAACCGUGCCUGGACAGCAAGAGGGUCUGCAUAAGCCACUGAGGCAGCAAGAGGCAGAGCAUGCCUUUUCACGCUCCUACAGUCUCACUGUGAAGAAGAAUCUGAAGCAAAAUGCCUUCCAAAGAAUUGUUCAGGCGACGAAUACUGGCCAACAGCAAACACCACUGUAAUUCCUAAAAACAGCACUGCAAAUCCAAGAAUGAGCUCUACUACUAUUUGUUAAUUGCUGAGAGGAACUUGACUUCAUGUUACAAUGGCUACCCUGAAUCAAGAGUUUUAAAAGACUGUGUGCUACUAAAUGGCUGGUUUGGAAAGGAUAUUACCUGACUCAGAAAUUACAGCAGGAUGUUGGCAAGCAUUAAAUUCCCCGAGUAGGACUUCAGCAGACAAGCCAGAGUCUUUUCGACUCUCUCAGCAU